AAUUCCGAUGUUUAGGGCCAGGAUCUUGAUGUUUGAGGUCAGAAUUCCGAGUUUGGGGUCGGGAUCCGAGGUUUGGGGUCUGAAUUCCAAUGUUUGGGGUCAGGAUCCGAGGUUUGGGGUCGGGAUCUCGAUGUUUGGGGUCGGGAUCCGAGGUUUGGGGUCAGGAUCUCGAUGUUUGGGGUCGGGAUCCGAGGUUUGGGGUCGGGAUCUCGAUGUUUGGGGUCGGGAUCCGAGGUUUGGGGUCGGGAUCCGAGGUUUGGGGUCUGAAUUCCGAUGUUUGGGGUCGGGAUCUCGAUGUUUGGGGUCUGAAUUCCGAUGUUUGGGGU
This is a long non-coding RNA of Oxyura jamaicensis (ruddy duck), 326 nucleotides long. RefSeq lists it as uncharacterized. The transcript is spliced from 2 exons. Lineage: Eukaryota; Metazoa; Chordata; Aves; Anseriformes; Anatidae. The record is from RefSeq and is a predicted model, not a curated record.